Molecule: long non-coding RNA, 675 nt
Organism: Carassius gibelio (silver crucian carp)
Lineage: Eukaryota; Metazoa; Chordata; Actinopteri; Cypriniformes; Cyprinidae
Exons: 2
Source: RefSeq, a predicted model, not a curated record
AUUCUGAGUGUGUCAGCUGUGCUGUGAGGUCGUUUUACCGGAGGCUUCGCAAACUCUGCCGGAGGAUCUUUUUUUCUGAGAAUCUUGGAGUUUGAUAGCAGUGCAACUUAUGAGUACCUGUAUAUUGAUGAAGCAGGCUUCAAUCUUCAAAAAAAAGAGAGACAUGUGAUUUGGCCAUUGUGCUACAAUCAAUGUCCCUGAACAACAAGGAGGCAACCUCACUCUCUGUGCAGCAAUUUCUACAACUGGUGUUGUGGCACACAAUGCUUUCUUGGGACCAUACAAGCGAGAGUGGUUUUCAGAAUAACCCACAAUUCAGGAUGGUGUUUCUUCCACCAUAUUCUCCUUUCCUGAAUCCAAUUGAGGAAUUCUUUUCUUGGAGAUAGAAAGUACAUGAUCGCAACCCUUACAACCAAGUCAGUUUUCAAGUGAUGGAAGAGGCCUGUGGAGAUAUUGGGGCAUGGGUAUGUCAAGGAUUGAUACAGCAUUCAAGGCGUUUUUCCCCCGAUGCAUGACUUUCAUGAAAUUUAUUCAAUGAAUGCAGUACAUUUAUCACUUUAUUUUUUUUUUUAUUUACCCAUGUACUUAUUUGCAUUAUAUUUGUGUAUGUGGGGUGACAACUUGUUAUACAGUACACCUUAACUCCUCAUUAAAGAACUCGAUGAAAAACCUGUA